UAUGGUCAAGUGAAGAAGCGCAUACGGUGGAUGCCUUGGCAGUCAGAGGCGAUGAAAGACGUGGUAGCCUGCGAAAAGCUUCGGGGAGUCGGCAAACAGACUGUGAUCCGGAGAUGUCUGAAUGGGGGAACCCAGCCAUCAUAAGAUGGUUAUCUUGUACUGAAUACAUAGGUGCAAGAGGCGAACCAGGGGAACUGAAACAUCUAAGUACCCUGAGGAAAAGAAAUCAACCGAGAUUCCCUUAGUAGUGGCGAGCGAACGGGGACCAGCCCUUAAGUUGUAUUGAGAUUAGCGGAACGUUCUGGAAAGGACGGCCAUAGUGGGUGAUAGCCCUGUACGCGAAAAUCCCUUUGCAAUGAAAUCGAGUAGGACGGGGCACGAGAAACCUUGUCUGAAUAUGGGGGGACCAUCCUCCAAGGCUAAAUACUACUGACUGACCGAUAGUGAACCAGUACCGUGAGGGAAAGGCGAAAAGAACCGCGGAGAGCGGAGUGAAAUAGAUCCUGAAACCGUAUGCGUACAAGCAGUGGGAGCCCACUUUGUUGGGUGACUGCGUACCUUUUGUAUAAUGGGUCAGCGACUUAUUUUCAGUGGCGAGCUUAACCGAAUAGGGGAGGCGUAGCGAAAGCGAGUCUUAAUAGGGCGUCUAGUCGCUGGGAAUAGACCCGAAACCGGGCGAUCUAUCCAUGGGCAGGUUGAAGGUUGGGUAACACUAACUGGAGGACCGAACCGACUACCGUUGAAAAGUUAGCGGAUGACCUGUGGAUCGGAGUGAAAGGCUAAUCAAGCUCGGAGAUAGCUGGUUCUCCUCGAAAGCUAUUUAGGUAGCGCCUCAUGUAUCACUGUAGGGGGUAGAGCACUGUUUCGGCUAGGGGGUCAUCCCGACUUACCAAACCGAUGCAAACUCCGAAUACCUACAAGUGCCGAGCAUGGGAGACACACGGCGGGUGCUAACGUCCGUCGUGAAAAGGGAAACAACCCAGACCGUCAGCUAAGGUCCCAAAGUCAUGGUUAAGUGGGAAACGAUGUGGGAAGGCUUAGACAGCUAGGAGGUUGGCUUAGAAGCAGCCACCCUUUAAAGAAAGCGUAAUAGCUCACUAGUCGAGUCGGCCUGCGCGGAAGAUGUAACGGGGCUCAAACCAUGCACCGAAGCUACGGGUAUCAUCUUUUGAUGAUGCGGUAGAGGAGCGUUCUGUAAGCCUGUGAAGGUGAGUUGAGAAGCUUGCUGGAGGUAUCAGAAGUGCGAAUGCUGACAUGAGUAACGACAAUGGGUGUGAAAAACACCCACGCCGAAAGACCAAGGUUUCCUGCGCAACGUUAAUCGACGCAGGGUUAGUCGGUCCCUAAGGCGAGGCUGAAAAGCGUAGUCGAUGGAAAACAGGUUAAUAUUCCUGUACUUCUGGUUAUUGCGAUGGAGGGACGGAGAAGGCUAGGCCAGCCUGGCGUUGGUAGUCCAGGUUUAAGGUGGUAGGCUGAGAUCUUAGGUAAAUCCGGGAUCUUAAGGCCGAGAGCUGAUGACGAGUGUUCUUUUAGAACACGAAGUGGUUGAUGCCAUGCUUCCAAGAAAAGCUUCUAAGCUUCAGGUAACCAGGAACCGUACCCCAAACCGACACAGGUGGUUGGGUAGAGAAUACCAAGGCGCUUGAGAGAACUCGGGUGAAGGAACUAGGCAAAAUGGCACCGUAACUUCGGGAGAAGGUGCGCCGGUGGAGGUGAAGCAUUUACUGCGUAAGCCCCUGCCGGUCGAAGAUACCAGGCCGCUGCGACUGUUUAUUAAAAACACAGCACUCUGCAAACACGAAAGUGGACGUAUAGGGUGUGACGCCUGCCCGGUGCCGGAAGGUUAAUUGAUGGGGUUAGCGCAAGCGAAGCUCUUGAUCGAAGCCCCGGUAAACGGCGGCCGUAACUAUAACGGUCCUAAGGUAGCGAAAUUCCUUGUCGGGUAAGUUCCGACCUGCACGAAUGGCGUAACGAUGGCGGCGCUGUCUCCACCCGAGACUCAGUGAAAUUGAAAUCGCUGUGAAGAUGCAGUGUAUCCGCGGCUAGACGGAAAGACCCCGUGAACCUUUACUAUAGCUUUGCACUGGACUUUGAAUUUGCUUGUGUAGGAUAGGUGGGAGGCUUUGAAGCGUGGACGCCAGUCUGCGUGGAGCCAACCUUGAAAUACCACCCUGGCAACUUUGAGGUUCUAACUCAGGUCCGUUAUCCGGAUCGAGGACAGUGUAUGGUGGGUAGUUUGACUGGGGCGGUCUCCUCCUAAAGAGUAACGGAGGAGUACGAAGGUGCGCUCAGACCGGUCGGAAAUCGGUCGUAGAGUAUAAAGGCAAAAGCGCGCUUGACUGCGAGACAGACACGUCGAGCAGGUACGAAAGUAGGUCUUAGUGAUCCGGUGGUUCUGUAUGGAAGGGCCAUCGCUCAACGGAUAAAAGGUACUCCGGGGAUAACAGGCUGAUACCGCCCAAGAGUUCAUAUCGACGGCGGUGUUUGGCACCUCGAUGUCGGCUCAUCACAUCCUGGGGCUGAAGCCGGUCCCAAGGGUAUGGCUGUUCGCCAUUUAAAGUGGUACGCGAGCUGGGUUUAGAACGUCGUGAGACAGUUCGGUCCCUAUCUGCCGUGGACGUUUGAGAUUUGAGAGGGGCUGCUCCUAGUACGAGAGGACCGGAGUGGACGAACCUCUGGUGUUCCGGUUGUCACGCCAGUGGCAUUGCCGGGUAGCUAUGUUCGGAAAAGAUAACCGCUGAAAGCAUCUAAGCGGGAAACUUGCCUCAAGAUGAGAUCUCACUGGAACCUUGAGUUCCCUAAAGGGCCGUCGAAGACUACGACGUUGAUAGGUUGGGUGUGUAAGCGCUGUGAGGCGUUGAGCUAACCAAUACUAAUUGCCCGUGAGGCUUGACCAUA
RNAcentral lists this ribosomal RNA (2898 nucleotides) under Pseudomonas syringae. Its description in RNAcentral is "bacterial LSU rRNA". It matches the Rfam family "Bacterial large subunit ribosomal RNA". Lineage: Bacteria; Pseudomonadati; Pseudomonadota; Gammaproteobacteria; Pseudomonadales; Pseudomonadaceae. The record is from RNAcentral.